GAGGAAGUAAAAGUCGUAACAAGGUCUCCGUUGGUGAACCAGCGGAGGGAUCAUUACCGAGUUUUCAACUCCCUAACCCUUAUGUGAACCUACCUAUUGUUGCUUCGGCGGACUCGCCCCAGCCGGACGCGGACUGGACCAGCGGCCGCCGGGGACCCUCAAACUCUUGUAUUAUCAGCAUCUUCUGAAUACGCCGCAAGGCAAAACAAAUAAAUCAAAACUUUCAACAACGGAUCUCUUGGCUCUGGCAUCGAUGAAGAACGCAGCGAAAUGCGAUAAGUAAUGUGAAUUGCAGAAUCCAGUGAAUCCAUCGAAUCUUUGAACGCACAUUGCGCCCGCCAGCAUUCUGGCGGGCAUGCCUGUUCGAGCGUCAUUUCAACCCUCGACCUCCCUUUGGGGAAGUCGGCGUUGGGGACCGGCAGCACACCGCCGGCCCUGAAAUGGAGUGGCGGCCCGUCCGCGGCGACCUCUGCGUAGUAAUCCAACUCGCACCGGAACCCCGACGCGGCCACGCCGUAAAACACCCAACUUCUGAACGUUGACCUCGAAUCAGGUAGGACUACCCGCUGAACUUAAGCAUAUCAAUAAGCGGAGGAAUU
RNAcentral lists this unclassified non-coding RNA (599 nucleotides) under Beauveria brongniartii. RNAcentral's name for it is "sequence contains ITS1, 5.8S rRNA gene, ITS2". The stretch from base 219 to 373 matches the Rfam family "5.8S ribosomal RNA". Lineage: Eukaryota; Fungi; Ascomycota; Sordariomycetes; Hypocreales; Cordycipitaceae. The record is from RNAcentral.